This 414-nucleotide ribosomal RNA is filed under the name Marinula filholi. Its description in RNAcentral is "partial 16S ribosomal RNA". It matches the Rfam family "Bacterial large subunit ribosomal RNA", at positions 1837 to 2571 of the family's 2925-position model. The record is from RNAcentral. Lineage: Eukaryota; Metazoa; Mollusca; Gastropoda; Ellobiida; Ellobiidae.
GGUAUCGAGGGAAGUCUACCCUGCCCAGUGAUAUUAUUCUUUAACGGCCGCAGUACCUUGACUGUGCUAAGGUAGCGUAAUCAGUUGACUUUUAAAUGGAGUCAGGAAUGAAUGGGUUUUCGGGGAGAAGCUGUCUUGAGAUUAUUUUAUUGAAUUUCCUAAUGGGGUGAAAAUUCCCCAAUUAAUGAAAAUAGACGAGAAGACCCUUAGAGUCUUAACGAAAGGAUUAUAUUAAUAUCUUACAGUUUUUGUUGGGGCGACAAAGAGGCAAGUAGUAACCCUCUUUAAAUAAUAUUUUACAUGCCGAAGUUUUUAUGUAAGUAAAGACUACCUGAGGGAUAACAGCAUAAUUCUUUUUUGAGUUUGUGACCUCGAUGUUGGACUAGGAACCUUAUGGCUAGCAGCUUUAAAGUA